Molecule: long non-coding RNA, 3966 nt
Organism: Gallus gallus (chicken)
Lineage: Eukaryota; Metazoa; Chordata; Aves; Galliformes; Phasianidae
Source: Ensembl
CACAGUACCAGUAUCAAGCGCUGCCAUUCUUACUGCUUUAUUUUUUCAAACAACAUAGAAGUUAAAGCUUUGUUUAAAAGAACAGCUUUUUCUUGUAGUCGGUGAUGUCUCAUCCACUAUAACAUCAAAAUGUUUCAGUUAGUUGUCGAUCACUAUACAGAUGAGAGGGGAAUAAUUGGCUGCCUUCAACGAGGCACAGAAAUGAAAAUAUUCUCUACAAGCAAAAAAAAAGAUCCUUGGCUCCAUAUCACUGUUUGCUCAACGUUUAUGAUAACUGAGAGAUACCUCUUUGACUAUAAAGCAAUGAAAACUUAAAGUUAUUAUCUACUUCCAGAGGACUGGGGAGCUUAUUUACUGAAUCAUACAGCAAUGUAUCGUUCAGAUAAGUUAGCAUUUGGUCUGGAAAAUUGUGAAAUACGAUAUUUCAACACUUCUCCUCUCCUGCCAAGGGAGCUUCGGAAUCACAGAAGACAGUUUAUUUUGAACAUAUGGAAAAGAUGAGGAAUGUCCUCCCAGAGAUAACCAUCUCUAACCUGCAGUUGACAGGAUCUUCAGACCUUCUCCAGCUAUUAGACGUUACUUUUGUACAUUAGGACAGCGGGAGUCACGUGAGGAGCAACCAUACCUUUAACACCCAUUUCUCUGGCUCAUGAGGACACAGUGCAUCACCAACCAGUGAGCAAGACAGAUCUGAGGAGAUUUUCCAAGUACUUGAUGGCAGCCUUAAGUUAAAUUAAUGCAUCUGAAGGAAGCAAAAGUGUCUCAUUACAAAAAGUGCCAUGGAAAAGGUUGGAUAGUUAAACAGAUGAGCUCUGAAUACUUCUUUCCCUGUAAGAAUUAAUGACCAUACAUAAAUGAAAUCUCUACAGCUUGAAGAAAGCAGUAUCCAAGAAAGUCGAUUUGAUCUGUUCUCCAAAUGGAUGCCCCUAACUACAUUCAGGGACUCUGAACAUGACGUGGAGGAAUGACACAGCCAAGUAGAGUUGACAGAAGCUUGCAAAAUAUCCAGGAGUUUUCAAAGCCUUUCACCCUCAUUAAUCACAAAGAUAUUCUGCAGGUCACUGCUGAAUGCAGAUUGGGAUGAAUGCUACAGUACCAUAAUGUCACAAGAAGCCAAGACAAGCAUGUGCUAGAAUCCAUUAGACAUUAUCACCUGUGGAUGGUACCUCUGAGAGGAAGCAGACGGCUUAAUAAAUGAAUGAUUAAAACUGAAGUGCAAGACUGCCACAGAAAAAAGCUCCAUGACACCUUCUGUAAUCAGUUGACCAACAUACUAGGCUUUUGCUGUCACAUGGAAUCUAAGAGAAUGCAUUCAUGGUGCAUCUUGAAAUCAAUGCACAGGCUAGCAUUCUCACCCCAAAACACCACUUUCCAACAUGAAGGAAAUUUGGUUUGUACUCCAGACAGAAUGAAACAGAGCUCCGCGUCCUGCAUUAUAGCAGUGCUCACCUUCCCUCUGAUGCUAAACCCUCUAAUCUGUGGGUUUUUGUGCAAGUGGACUCUGGGAACACUUCGCAUCUAUGGGAUCAGUAUGGCUGAGACCACGUGCAAAGACAAGUAUAGAACAGAAAAUAGUUCCUUUCCCGCAGAGUGAGGGGAAACCCAGAAGAGGAAUUACGAGGGUGGAGGUGAAGAAAUCCCUCUGGUCCAUCUCUGAACACUGAGGAGGGGCAUAGCUGGGCAUGAGAAGCUGCAGGAAGAGUGGGAAUAGAAAAACAGGAAGGCUGGAAGCUAUGGAUCAGCUCCAUAUCAAAGAUCUUAUCAGUAUCUUCAAUGACUCAUUUAUGUUUUUUUCCCCUCCAAUAUUUUUGUGGCAUAUCCAGUUUCUUUAUUACCAUACAAAGAUUGGGAAAUUAAGCAGAAAAAGAUGGAGAGUUCAAGCAGAAAAGGUGGAAAAGUGCUACAUCAAGGCAAAUGUAUAAACGUGAGUGUUCUUAGCUUUAGCAAUAUGUUUGGCCAAAUUCUUUUGAAAUUACGAUGUCAUGGACUUCAUGAUGGUAUGCACAGGAUUGUGCAGACGCAACAGAUGACCCUUCCACUACACAGUCGUUUCCAGACCAUCCCAGCAGAAGUUAAUUCCCAGAAAACAGUCCACGUGUGACAAGCACACUUUAAAUACCCCAUGUCGUCCACGUGUUUCCUACAUAGUUUUAGUAACUGUGGUGUCAUAGGUAAGGCAAUACCAGCAUCUUGAGUUGUUACUGGACCUUACUUGGCGAACAGCACCAUUCUUUUGUACAGAAGAAUAGAGAAGAGGGAGAAAGGAACUGCUACAUUUCCAGCUUUCAGCUCAGUAUGUGCCUGGGGCAAACUCUGGGAGGCAUCCAGAGAUGGAAGCUCAGAGUCACUCCCAGCAACGCAGCCAAGACACAGCCUGCAUAUCUUUUAGCACAUUGCAUACAUUGAAAGUGAAGACUGGUCAGCUUUGUGAUUGACUCCAGAUAGAGUCAACUUAAGUUUAGCCAGACUUAUUAGCUCUAAUUCAGCCCUGGGUUUGCCAGACACAACCUGGCUUUUGCACAAUCUCUUAAGUAUUUCUGCACUCCACUCCAAGAGGGUGUAUUAGCUCAUGUGCAACUCAAGGUAUGUUUGCAACACUGCAACCACAAUGAUAAAUGUUGCUGGAGCCAGGACAUACUUCGGUGUUGCCACACAGAAUUCACUCAAGCUUUGGACUCAGUCCUGGAAUGCUGUACUUGCACUUCCGAGUGCAGAUGGACCCCCCUACACAGUGCCAGCUAAGUGUCAGAGCCUCCACAGCACAGUUAAUCCACAACCUGGAUAAACUGCUUGUGGAUGACUGAGAAUUGAUUGCACACCCAUCUAGCACUUCUGUUCUACGGGAGGAUAAACGCUUCUUUGUAAAAGUAUUUGUAGAUGCGAAUUCUACCAUUUCAAACAGUCAUAUUGUAUAUACAUUUCCUGUUUGUUUUCAUUUUAAAUUGUAAAAUGAAUCAUGCCUUUUACUGCAUUUUACAGUACAAACUCCAAACACUGUAGGAGUAGAAGCAUUUAACAUGAAGAGAUGAGUUUGCAGUGCAGGGAUGGUCACACCCAGGCAAGGGAGAAGAAGGAAGCAAAUCACAGCAAAUCACAGAAUCUAAUGCAGCAGAUAACAUGAAUGUGUGUACUUCUUCCCACCAUUUGCUACCCUCCAGGUGUCACCACCACAGCUUGCACAAUCCAUAAGCCUGAAGGAGUCAACCUGUGCAUUGUAUAGACUGUCAAUAAUGCAAAGCAGUACUCUCAGAGGAUGACAAAGGUGGCACUGAAUAUUUGACUGCUCAGCAACAACACUUCUGGUCAUUUUGAAUCUACAUAGCAGGCUUUUGUGAGAAGGGCAACAGAGCAAGAGGUUGCUCAGGAUUGUCUGGCAGAGGAAGUGAACGGUGAAGCUGAGGAUAAGGCUGGCACCAAGCUGAAGAAAAGUUUUAAUAUGCCAAAUUUCUGUGAUUAUUAUUUUUUUUUAAGCACCAAGGAAAAAGAGUUUUAUAAGGCUCGUUAGGAUCAUUCUUUCACAAAGGGAAGAAGAGGACUUAGAGGACGGGGUAAGAGAAAUUAGUUGCCGGUUGUCCUUCUGAACACAGACUGCAAAAUAUUAGCCUCUCUUCUCAACAAGAGACAAGAGGAAAUACCAAGGAAAAGCAGUUAAAGGUCACAGAAUGGCACAUUUUUCGUGUAGUUUAGUAGAAGUAUGUGAAAGCAGCUGUAGAGAAUGGAUAAAUUAUGUUUUAACUUCGGACUGAGCUCAUAAUGUUCAACAAAAAUAUCUACCUUCCCUAUUUAUAGCUGGUUCUGUCAUAAUACUGUGUGCUACUGUGAUUUAUUAGCUGACAAUGGCUUUGAUUAAUCAAUGUGAAAGUCAUCCUCUUAAUAAAGAAGUCAUAAUGAGACAUAAGAUGGUCCCUUGAGUUCCUUGUCCCUUUUUCCUCGGGACCCUUCAUCUGUCCUAUUAGAAAUGCCAAA